Molecule: long non-coding RNA, 4809 nt
Organism: Ostrea edulis (European flat oyster)
Lineage: Eukaryota; Metazoa; Mollusca; Bivalvia; Ostreida; Ostreidae
Exons: 3
Source: RefSeq, a predicted model, not a curated record
GGACAUGACUCCCCCUCCCCACCUUGGGUUUUUAUUGGGAUUAUGAUUUUCAAGUUACCACCUUAGAUGUGGACAUGACUCCCCCUCCCCACCUUGGGUUUUUAUUGGGAUUAUGAUUUUCAAGGUACCACCUUAGAUGCAUGUGGACAUGACUCCCCCUCCCCACCUUGGGUUUUUAUUGGGAUUAUGAUUUUCUGACAUUGAACAUUGCAUAUAUAUGCAGAUAUGGGAAGUCUUGUCAACAAGCACAUGUGGAUAUAUAUUGUACCAUAUUUUUUUCAAAGUGGGGAAAUGGAGAAGGAUAGAUAUGGAUUUCAUCAGUGGCAUAAAUAUAUAUUAUAACAUUAACUUUCCUUAAUGAUUCUAAUUCUCUAAUUCACUUUGGUUGGGAUACAAUUUGAUAUAUAAUGUAUUCUUUUGCCAGUGUUCAUCCAAAACAGGGGGGUAAGUUUAAUUAUAUAUUCUAUGAAUGUGAUAAUUUUGGUAAUUUUUGCACAAAAUUUCAAGAAAUUGUAUUCAAAAUUUUACUUCAAGUUUCCUGAACUGUUUGAAAAGAGUGAAUAGUUUUGAAAAUGAAUUUAUCAUUCAAAAUAAUUACCCAGUCAAAAAUUUACUGAAAUUAUAUAAUAUUGAAUUUUAGGUCUCACCAUUUCCUUGAAAAUAUAAUGAAUUUCAUGCACGUAAAUAAUUUUCCUUACCAUCGGGAUCAGUCUAUUUCUCAUACAUUCUAAUAUUUUAUUGUGAUUUAUUUAGAGUUGCAAAAUUCAGUAAUUUUUAAUUGUGUAAUAAACAUUAAUUUUUUAGUUUAGUGGGGAAAAUGCAAACAUUGCACCUAAUCCCAAAAAAUUAAUUUGCUGUUUGCCAGUUUACCAUAAUUAAUAAUAUGAAGACGUAUUAUGAUUUUUUGGUGGGAUGGUAAUACACUACAAUGUUAAUGACCAUUUAAUUAAAAGGUUCAUUACUCAAUGUUCUAUGUAUGUAAAUGAAGGUAUGUAAAAAUGCUGAAACAUAUUCUUAUUAAUUCAAAAAAAAAAUAUAUUUGUAUGUCGGUCACAGUAGCUAAAUAAUACCAUCAACGUGGAACUAAAUAACCUGGGGACCGAAAAUAAUGAUAGUACAAUAUAAACAAGAACCGUAUGCACUCUUCGUUAUUGAAGUUAGCAAAGGCCUAACUUUCGAUUUAAAAACUUACUUGUAUGUGAGAAGGAAUCGCACACGAUCUGGAGGUACGGUGUUGAAUGCAGUUCCUGACUACAUCUGUCAGUUCUAGGAUUGUUUGCCUUGGAAAUCGAUACCUUGCAAUCAAAUCUGUGUCAUUAUAUGGAUUAAAAUGAGUUUUAUCAUUUUCAGUAUCGUUUGCACCUAACCUGUCGAAAACUAUUCAAACACCAAUAAUCAUAAUUGUCGUCCUGUCUACAUUUGUUGGUUGUUGCUAUAGCAACAAUUGUUGGGAUGGCUUUCCGCCAAAGAUUGAAGAGACGAUUAGAGUACAAGCGGUCACAACCCGAGAGUGAGCGCAACACGGAUAUGAACGCCACUAGACAACCCAACAGAGGUUCUGAAUUCCCGUUAAAUGAUUAUGAACAGAUCAAUGCAUCUAUUGAUGUCCAUACUUACGAUUGGGCUGUUAUAUCGAAUGAAGCCCUUUACCAAAAUGUCCUAGCCGGUUCAAUUGAUCCUUUGAGUCUGAGUGUGGGAUAUAUUACAGAAAGAUCUGUUAACAAUUCAAUUUGUCUUGUAAAACAAAAUUUGACUUUAUCAACAUUUUGUGUCGAAUAAGUUAAGUGACCCGUAAGUCGCGCCAAAUGACGUCAUAUUGAUGACGUAACAAUACGUUUAGGUCUUCUGUUUCCAAUUUUGCUUCAGUAAUAAUGCCUCAUUUAUUUAAAAUCCUAAUUUUCUUCAGAAGGAGAUUAUAAGGAAUGAAGUGAUAGCUACUCUAUUUAUACGAUUUGAAUUAAGUUUGGGGGUAUCUAACGUUCUUUUGCGGUUUAUACAUUUAAUGCUAGGAUGUAAAUCACAAACAUAAGACGUAAGUAGAACUUACUUUCACUCACUUCAGAAUGUAACCAAAUACAGUGUCACAAAAAUCCUAAUGAAAUACUUUAAGUCAGGAUAUUUAAAUCCACAUCGAAUUACACUGCACUAUAUAUUUCUUCAGGAAUUUUUUCGAAUUCUAUCUCUGUAUUAAAAAGAAAAUAUUCAGGAUAGCAUUUUAAUGGUGGCGUGAUGGUCUGAAAUCGUCAAAAAGAAGACGACACUUAUCAGUAAUAUCAUGUUGUGGUCAUAACGAGCGGUCAGCAAGGGUAAUGACUUCGUGAGUGAUACAAAAUAAUAGUUGCUCGUCUUCUUGUAUUUAAAAAUGCUCUUCAGAUGUGAGAGUUAUUUUUGUUAUGUUGUUUAGUUAUAUCUUAAAGAAUGUUUUGUAAAUAAUUUUACUAAUUUCUGUGAAUGAUUAUUUUCAUGUAACACGUGAAUAUAAAUUUAUUUACCUCUGCACAUUUGUAUUUCUAAAGAUUAAUUUUUCUGAAUUUUCUAAAGUCUCUUUGGCACGAAAUAUCGAAAAUGAGUUAUCGUGAAAUAAUUGUUCUAUGCCUCAGAACUUGAACUCCAAAAAAAUAUCCAAUAAAUGCUUCCAAAUUAGUUUGGUCAAUUUAUAUUGAUGUAUUUUGGUAUAUUCGUUUUUCCAAAUCAGUCUUUAAUUUCAAUAUACAUUAAUAUUUCGGGGUGAAGUCUCCGCGUAGACGCCCUUAAAAUCCUCACCUAGGGUGCCAAUGACCACCUGUAUUAGAUGUAUAUAGGCAUAGGCAUACACAUACAUACAUACAUAUAUAAAGCACAGAAAAUUUCACUUUAUUUGGAUACCCACUUCCGCCCCUACCCGAGGUUGAACUCACGACCUGCGGAACUAAAUCUCCUAGCAGCAUGUAACCAGCGCGGUAGACCGCUCGACCAUCUAGGCUUGCUUUCGAUGACGAUGGAAUUCUCGCCACGUUGUCACAACUAUACGGUCAUUGAGAAUGGAAAUGGGAUACAGUUAUUUAACGUACAUUUAAGAGGAUCAUGAAUGAUACACAUUGUAUUCGAAAUAUUGUACAUAAAGCACAGAAAUAGCAAUGAACUCUUAAAUGAACAUAACUGCCCUAAGUGAAGAUAUAUAUAUAUAUAUAUAUAUCUACACAUAUAGACAUACACGUACGUACACAAACACAUACACAUAUAUUGACAAGAUAUAACAUAAAAAAGAAGGUUCCAUGUAUAAAAAAAAGAAAAAAAGAAACAGUAUAUGUACAUAAAGAACCCGAAACUCUCAUACGAGGGGUUAACCAAUUCAAAUGUUCAUAUCACAACCCCCAUGGCAGCACUGCAGGAGAACAGGGACCCUCCUCGUAGUGGGAAUUUCUUACAAAAUACCAGUAUAUAAAAGGUUUAUAACAAUCAUUUUUUGAUAUAGUUGUUUGUAAUCAAUUUAAAUUUUUCAAAAACCUCACAUGAAAAUACAAUUAUAAAUGUACAUAUACAAAUAUUUUGUAAAGGUUUCAUAGCAUGUAUCUAACACACUCACACAAGUACAUGCACACAACUACACACUCACCACCUGAAAUGUUUAUUCCAGGUAAAUAUGACAAGAAAAAAAAAAGAUGAAAUAUUUUUUCAGUUUUUAUCCCGUAAAGGUGUAUAUAUUACAAUUUGUUUUUAGUAGCUUUCAUAACCUUAGCAAAUUUUUUGUCCUGAUUUUUUUUCUCUUUUUGUGUGUGUGUGUAUUUCUGUAUACAAAUUUAGUUUACUUUUUAUGUGAUUACGCAUUUCUUGAGGAUUUUCGUAUUUGUUAUCUAAUUUACAGUACAUUUUAUACUUGUGUAUUUUGAAGGCAAUAAGGGAUAUUAUGUUAUUCAAAAAAAUGUCUUUUCAUUAUUUUCAUAGUAAAAUCCUAUCGCAGUUGCUUUCCAUGAUAUAUCAAAUUCUAAAACAUGUUUGACAAUGCCCCAUAUAUGGGAAAUAUUUUUACAUUCUAAGAUAAGAUGUUCAUUGUUUUCUUAUUCUACAAAAGACACAAAAAUCAUUUUCUACUAUUUACCAUUUCUUCAUCAAUUCUCUGUUCCAUAAUAGUUUAUUUUACAAUAUUUAAUUAAAAUCUUAUAUACUUCUGCCUCUAAUGGAUAAGUUUUUUGUCCAUACAUAGAUGUCCAAGCCGAUUUUGGUAUUUCAAAAACGUUUCCGAAAUAUGUUUGGUGUUAGUGGAGGUAUAAUAUUUCAAGACAAAGAAUUUGGUAAAUCAACUUUGCAUUUACAUCGCACACUUCCACAUGUCCUUUACAUAAUAAUCCAUAUGAUGUAUUCCCAUAAAAAUGUUUUCCUAUCGUGUAUUUGAAAAUUUAUAACUUUUGAAGGUUUUUGUUGUAACUGUUUUUAUAAUCGUAUUUCGCGAAAUCCAGGUUUUGUUAUAUAUACGUUUGUCAUCAAACCAUUCCAUAGGUUUUAUACCAUUUUCAUUUACAAUGAAAGAUGAAGAUAACGAACAGUGAUCAAUCUCGUAACUCCCAUAAGCAAUACAAAAAUGCAUCCCCUGCUUGUAACAACAUUGUCUUUGUUUGUAAGACUCGUUAUUGCCACUGUAUAUUAAACGAACUUGGCAUUAAUUCCACUUUUGGUAAUCGUACUUAUACUCUAACUGCCCUUUCAAAAGAUGAAAUUCUUCAAAACCAUGUUUAAGUUUUAGACACAUUUAAUAUCCCUGUCAAUGGGUCGAAUGAAUACGAGUUACCGUAUAUACUGGAUUCCUAAACUACAUAGAAACCCUUACAAACA